Molecule: long non-coding RNA, 220 nt
Filed under: Musa acuminata (dwarf banana)
Lineage: Eukaryota; Viridiplantae; Streptophyta; Magnoliopsida; Zingiberales; Musaceae
Description: long non-coding RNA (MACU_LNC009881)
Source: RNAcentral
CAAAAUCAAUUCAUAUAAGUCAUGCUAUCAAAAUGGUACAAGUCAUCACUUUUUCUCCCCCUUUGUCAUCAACAAAAAGGAGAUGAGACUUUGAAGCACACAAUUUGUGAUCAUAAAAUCAUUAGAGAAAGAAUUUAGCAUUAAGAUUAACCGUUCAAAUUUGCCAAAAAUAUUUAUCCAGAAUUCAUCUUAAAAAAAAUCAGCAUUCAUCCAAAAAAAA